This is a long non-coding RNA of Synchiropus splendidus (mandarinfish), 765 nucleotides long. RefSeq lists it as uncharacterized. Lineage: Eukaryota; Metazoa; Chordata; Actinopteri; Syngnathiformes; Callionymidae. The record is from RefSeq and is a predicted model, not a curated record. The transcript is spliced from 3 exons.
AUGACAUCUCGCACCACACUGAUAAAAUAUCCUACACACACACUUGGACUCCACCAAGUGGCUGGUUUCUUCAAUAAAACAGUAAAAACACUCCAAAUGAACAGGACAAAAGACCAAUCUUUACCAGCCAGUUUCCAUCGUCAUCUUUUCCCUUGAAUUGGACCUUGGACAUGGACGCCAUGUAAUGGGACGGCGCCACCGGGGAGACCAGGAGCAGAGAGAUGAGCAGUAGCAGCAGCAUGAUGCUUGUGCUUCUUGCUCCGGUCUCUGCUCGAGAUCCUUUUUAAGCAUCCUGUGGCAUGAUGAGAAUGCUGCAGAGCAGAUGAAUAUCCAGCCAAACUUGACAUUGAAAACAGUUAUUUCAUGUAUUAGUCGACCAUCCAGUUUCAUCCGGCUAACUCCAAGUGACUGAGGGAUUAACGGGGCGACACCUGAAGCAGCCCUGGGGCACGCUGAACACAAUGUGCAGAGAAGGUUCACCCCUCUUUCUUUGUGUUUGUCUCCUUCGCUCCACGUUUGGUGUCGACUCUUUUGGUUCAUCGUUCCUUUUCGCCUUUUUAUUAGUGAUGGGUAAAUGAGGCAUCAUUAAGCUUUUCAACACACUGUGUUGAUACUGUGUUGAUGCUGUGUCACUGAAUACUGACACCUGCAGGACAUUAAAAAUCCCUGCAGGCAACCUUCUUUAAAUAAAGUAUCUUUGUAACCUAUCUGAAACCUAUCCUUAAAUAAUGUGAACAUGUAUCGUAUGUGAAAAACCUGAAAACG